This 396-nucleotide ribosomal RNA is filed under the name uncultured bacterium. RNAcentral describes it as "partial 16S ribosomal RNA". It matches the Rfam family "Bacterial small subunit ribosomal RNA", at positions 523 to 918 of the family's 1533-position model. The record is from RNAcentral.
AUACAGAGGGUGCGAGCGUUAAUCGGAAUUACUGGGCGUAAAGCGCGCGUAGGCGGUUAAUUAAGUCAAAUGUGAAAUCCCCGAGCUUAACUUGGGCAUUGCAUUGGAUACUGGUUAGCUAGAGUAUGGGAGAGGAUGGUAGAAUUCCAGGUGUAGCGGUGAAAUGCGUAGAGAUCUGGAGGAAUACCGAUGGAGAGGGCAGGUAUCUGGCCUAAUACUGACACUGAGGAGUGAAAUCAUGGCAAGUAAACAGGAUUAUAUACCCUGCUAGUCCAUGCCGUAAGCGAUGUCUUCUAGCCGAUGUGGGCUUUGAUCCUUUAGUGGCUCAGCUAAAGCGAUAAGUAGACCCCCUGGGCGGUACGGUCGCCAUGCUCACGCUCUACUGACUUUACAGCC